Molecule: long non-coding RNA, 1489 nt
Organism: Oncorhynchus tshawytscha (Chinook salmon)
Lineage: Eukaryota; Metazoa; Chordata; Actinopteri; Salmoniformes; Salmonidae
Source: Ensembl
CACAUUUAUUUAACCAGGUAGGCCAGUUGAGAACACAUUUAUUUAACCAGGUAGGCCAGUUGAGAACACCUUUAUUUAACCAGGUAGGCCAGUUGAGAACACCUUUAUUUAACCAGGUAGGCCAGUUGAGAACACCUUUAUUUAACCAGGUAGGCCAGUUGAGAACAAGUUCUCAUUUACAACUGCGACCUGGCCAAGAUAAAGCAAAGCAGUGCGACAAAAACAACAACACAGAGUUACACAUGGGAUAAACAAACAUACACUCAAUAAUACAAUAGAAAAAGUAUAUUUAUUUAUUUUACAGACACAUCUGGUUUAGAAUAAUAUAAAUGGUCCACGUUAUGACAAAACAGAAAAUAAUUAAGAAAUUCUGAAAAUAUUUUAUGCAUAUUUUAAAUUGUUCACCUGGUUAAUGUUACACAAAUAUUUAUUUGAGGUGGAACAUUGUGUUUGAAUUAACCCCUUGUAAAAAUCUCCCUCUCUCCUUUAAUGUCAUGCUAAUGUCUUCCCCCUUUUCUCACAGUGGGUCUCAUUAGGUUAGGAUUAACACAGGAUUAUAUUACUGUAGCCAUGGGCUACUUACUCUAGUUACCCCUCUAUCCCACUACACCAAUAUCUCCAGGACCUUCUCCGUGAUUUCAUUUUGAACGCCUCAGAUGACUUUAAACAGGCAAGGGUAUCUGAGCCCUGGCAGCUAAUCAAAGAAAAAUAACUGGAGGAUGGCUUUGAUAACAGAGCACUUUUCACACGCACCCAGCGUAAGCCAUGUUUAUGUACUGUCCUCUGCUGCAGGAAAUUAAAGCUGUCGUCUACACUGUGUUUAGAGUAAUUGGUCAUUUUGUGUUAUUCACAUAUUGUCAGGCUUCUACAGUUUCGCUCUACCUGUUAUUGUAGAAAAUAAUUACUUUCGAGUUCAGAUGAUUUGAGGGAUGGCAGAUAUUAUAUCCUUCUCUCUCUCUCUCUCUCUCUCUCUCUCUCUCUCUCUCUCUCUCUCUCUCUCUCUCUCUCUCUCUCUCUCUCUCUCUCUCUCUCUCUCCAGACUUGGCCGACGAGUGAACGUCAAGGUGCGGAACAGGGUGUGUGUCUCACUGGCAUACACACCAUGUCAAACUGAAUUAAAGACGUCUUACUUAACACACAGGCCAUUCGAUCCGAGGGCUGACAAUGAUGCCAUCAAAUCCACAGUAUGUGGCACCACUAUACCAAACCUCAAGACUUUUCUUGUUGUAGGUGUUGUUAUUGUUGCCUCUCUGGUUGUCAUCUUAUUGUUUGGGUGAUAUGAGGAAAUCUAAAGAAAGAUGAGGAUGAGGAAAACGUCUCCGCAAUAUACACAAAAUGUCUGUGAUUGGUUCCAUCUCUGUAUCUGUCACCAUAUUCCUACAGCAAAAUCAAAACAUUUUGCUGGUUGAAUUCAAAAACAUGGUGCUGAGUGCAGCAAAAUAAAUUGCCAUCUUUGGUUUAUUUGUGUGCAUUGUAAACAUACCUAACA